UGGUUCUGGCAUNGAUGAAGAACGCAGCGAAAUGCGAUAAGUAAUGUGAAUUGCAGAAUUCCGUGAAUCAUCGAAUCUUUGAACGCAUAUUGCGCCCUUUGGUAUUCCGAGGGGCAUGCCUGUUCGAGCGUCAUUUACAUGGUCAAGCAUUGCUUGGUAUUGGCGGCCGCCCCGGCGGGGCGCCCCCGAAACACAGCGGCGACGUAGCCGGACUCCCUGGCGCAGUGACGUUUUCCACCGCCCCGGAGUUGUCGGUCGUGCGUUGGCCGGAUAACAGCCCUUUGACAAUCGACCUCGGAUCAGGCAGGACUACCCGCUGA
This 320-nucleotide unclassified non-coding RNA is filed under the name uncultured fungus. Its description in RNAcentral is "partial contains 5.8S ribosomal RNA and internal transcribed spacer 2". The stretch from base 1 to 133 matches the Rfam family "5.8S ribosomal RNA", at positions 22 to 154 of the family's 154-position model. Lineage: Eukaryota; Fungi. The record is from RNAcentral.